This 253-nucleotide ribosomal RNA is filed under the name uncultured bacterium. RNAcentral describes it as "partial 16S ribosomal RNA". It matches the Rfam family "Bacterial small subunit ribosomal RNA", at positions 524 to 776 of the family's 1533-position model. The record is from RNAcentral.
UACGUAGGGGGCAAGCGUUGUCCGGAAUCAUUGGGCGUAAAGAGCGUGUAGGCGGCCGCUUAAGUCCUGCGUGAAAUCUCGGAGCUCAACUCCGAGCGGUCGUGGGAAACUGGGCGGCUAGAGUGCGGGAGAGGAGAGUGGAAUUCCUGGUGUAGCGGUGGAAUGCGCAGAUAUCAGGAAGAACACCCGUGGCGAAGGCGGCUCUCUGGAACGCAACUGACGCUGAGACGCGAAAGCGUGGGGAGCAAACAGG